UACGGGGGGAGCAAGCGUUGUUCGGAUUUACUGGGCGUAAAGGGCGCGUAGGCGGUCGUGACAAGUCACUUGUGAAAUCUCCGGGCUUAACUCGGAACGGUCAAGUGAUACUGUCGGACUAGAGUACAGAAGGGGCAACUGGAAUUCUCGGUGUAGCGGUGGAAUGCGUAGAUAUCGGGAGGAACACCAGUGGCGAAGGCGGCUUGCCAGAACGCGCUCGACGGUGAGGGAUGAAAGCUGGGGGAGCAAACCGGG
Molecule: ribosomal RNA, 255 nt
Filed under: uncultured bacterium
Lineage: Bacteria
Description: partial 16S ribosomal RNA
Rfam family: Bacterial small subunit ribosomal RNA
Source: RNAcentral